RNAcentral lists this long non-coding RNA (1038 nucleotides) under Elaeis guineensis (African oil palm). RNAcentral's name for it is "long non-coding RNA (EGUI_LNC076040)". The record is from RNAcentral. Lineage: Eukaryota; Viridiplantae; Streptophyta; Magnoliopsida; Arecales; Arecaceae.
GGGGAUGGAGUAGCUGGUGAAUGAAAUGCCCUAAAACAUGUGUAGGAGCAUGAGUGAAAUUCUGCUGGUGAAAGGCUGAAUGGCACUUGAGAUAGAAAUUUUAAGCUUCUGAUUUUCAGAUCAGUAAAUUCAGCCUGUCUUAUCGUAUCAAUAUUCUAAUCUUCUCUGCACCUUCGGAUUACUCAUGACCAAAAAUGCAAGAACGUUUUCCAUAUUAGUUUAAAACCCAAUAUCUAUUGUCUUCUUCAAUUGUUUAGUUUUAUGUGAGCUUAUCCUACCAUCAUGGCAUUAUUUUUAGUUCUUUUAUGUAUUUGGUACCACCUUUUUGAAUUAUCUUAGGUUUGGAGGACACAUCAAUCCUGACUAUGUAUUAUGGUGAGCCUAUGGCUCUUUUACAUCAUAUCAGAAUAUCUGGAUUUAGUCUUGUUGAGAAGAGGAGAACAUAGCUCCUUUUUUCAAGAUACCGGGAUUAAAAUAUCAAGAGGGUGAGUCUCGGCACAACAAUAAGGUUGCUCCAUUAUGACCCAAGUAUCACAUGUUCAAAACAUGAAAGUAGCCCUCUGCACAUGGGGUAAAGCUUAGCGCAUGUGAUGCUCCCCAGAUGUUGCAGUGGCAGGAGUCUCGGGAGAUGGCCUUUUUUAGGAAUAAAAUGAUAAAUUAUAUAUAGUAUGUGUAGCCAUCCAGUUUUUCAAUCAAGUUUCUUUUCGCCUGGUGUAGUUAUUGUCCUAGAGGCACAACCUAACUCGAAAGAUAAUAUUUCUUCAAAAGAAGAAAGAAGAGGGGGAGAGGGAGCACAUUUAGCACAUAGAAAUGGAUCUGCCAUUUUUGUUAUGUAAAAUGGGUUUGCAUCUGAAAACUGUUUAUUAAUGGGGUGGAGUCGUCAUGUUAUUGAUGAAGGAUGUAAUGCUGUGUGGCAUCUGAUCUGGUUUCCUUCUUCUUUUUGGGGUUUGGGGGUAGGGGAGGAUUUUCUCCUCCUUUUUUCCACUUUGGGUUUGUGCGUGCAGGUGGGUGGGUAGGUUGAGGCGUUUUGGUUGGUGG